AUUUUGCUUGAGGGAUAGCAGCGGAUAGCCCACAGCCUGACGAAGGAAGUGUGAGGACUUGUAGCGAAUAGCCCGAUUCGCC
Molecule: unclassified non-coding RNA, 82 nt
Filed under: Flavobacterium sp. ov086
Lineage: Bacteria; Pseudomonadati; Bacteroidota; Flavobacteriia; Flavobacteriales; Flavobacteriaceae
Description: Flavo-1 RNA
Source: RNAcentral